This 368-nucleotide ribosomal RNA is filed under the name uncultured organism. RNAcentral's name for it is "bacterial SSU rRNA". It matches the Rfam family "Bacterial small subunit ribosomal RNA", at positions 526 to 896 of the family's 1533-position model. The record is from RNAcentral.
CGAAGGAUCCAAGCGUUGUCCGGAUUUACUGGGUUUAAAGGGUGCGUAGGCGGACUUUUAAGUCAGUGGUGAAAGCCUGUAGCUUAACUAUAGAAUUGCCAUUGAAACUGAAAGUCUCGAGUGUGGUUGAGGUAACUGGAAUAUAUCAUGUAGCGGUGAAAUGCUUAGAUAUGAUAUAGAACACCAAUUGCGAAGGCAGGUUACUGAGCCAUUACUGACGCUGAGGCACGAAAGCGUGGGGAUCAAACAGGAUUAGAUACCCUGGUAGUCCACCCCGUAAACGUUGCAUACUCGAUCUUAGCGAUACACAGUUAGGAUCCAAGCGAAAGCGUUAAGUAUGCCACCUGGGAAGUACGAUCGCAAGAUUG